Molecule: ribosomal RNA, 497 nt
Filed under: uncultured bacterium
Lineage: Bacteria
Description: partial 16S ribosomal RNA
Rfam family: Bacterial small subunit ribosomal RNA
Source: RNAcentral
GACGAACGCUGGCGGCGUGCCUAAUACAUGCAAGUUGAGCGCUGAAGGUUGGUACUUGUACCUACUGGAUUGGCAGCGAACGGGUGAGUAACGCGUGGGGAAUCUGCCUUUGAGCCGGGGACAACAUUUGGAAACGAAAGCUAAUACCGCAUAAAAACUUUAACCACAAGUUUUAAGUUUGAAAGAUGCAAUUGCAUCACUCAAAGAUGAUCUCGCGUUGUAUUAGCUAGUUGGUGAGGUAAAGGCUCAACAAGGCGAUGAUACAUAGCCGAACUUAGAGGGUGGUCGGCCAAAUUGGGACUGGAGCACGGCUCAAACUCCUAAGGGGAGCAGCAGGAGGGGAUCUUCGGCAAUGGACGAAAGGCUGACCGAGCAACGCCGCGUGGGGGAAGGAGGUUUUCCGAUCGUAAAACUCUGUUGGUAGGGAAGAACGUUGGUGAGAGGGGAAAGCUCAUCAAGUGACGGUAACUACCCAGAAAGGGACGGCUAACUACGUG